This is a long non-coding RNA of Salvia splendens (bonfire salvia), 3396 nucleotides long. RefSeq lists it as uncharacterized. The record is from RefSeq and is a predicted model, not a curated record. The transcript is spliced from 18 exons. Lineage: Eukaryota; Viridiplantae; Streptophyta; Magnoliopsida; Lamiales; Lamiaceae.
AAUAAAAAAGAAAAGCAAUCGACUCCAGAUGAAAACCUCACCCCGCUCCCAUUCCCGUCGCCGCCCUCUUCCCCCAGCACAACGACGCCUUCCGCCUCACCACACCACACCACACCACACCAUCAAUCCUCAAAAGGUCGCCUAAACGGCUACCCAAUUAGCCCUAUUCUGCUUUUAGAACUGACUUCUAAAACUGAAUCUUUGGAAACAUAUAGAGCAAAAGAUUUGGUUCGCGGCCUCGAUAAGCAGAGGACGACGGAAGCGAUGGACUUUCCGGCGAAAACGCGCAAUAAGCGGCGGCAAUCAACACGAAAGAUAUGAGGCUACUAAUAAGGGAUCGAGUGCCGAUGAAGGGGGUGGAACAUCCGAUGGAAGAAUAAAGCAACAGACGGCUCUAAACGACAAAAGAUUUGUAGAGUUGUGAAGCAGUUGAUCAUGCUAAGAGAUUGAAGGAGGACUGAGAGGGUUAUUAUGCUGUCCAUUUGGAUUCUUUAUGGUUUAUGAACUAGGUAGUGACAGUUCCCACACAAGACCUUCAACCCACCAAUCCUCGGAUACUUGACUAAGUUGAUGAUCUUGCACAACUAAGUUAUUUGAUCGAGCCUUCAGUUCUUCACAAUCCUCAGCCUAGAUAUUUACAAGAUAAUUUAUAUAGAAUGGCAGGCCCUGUAUAUUUUGUCCAUCAAUCCUUUUAAAAAUGUCUAGCUAUAUGGGGAUGAUAAAGAAAGAAACUUUUGGACACUCCUCAUACUUAUGCUGUUGCUGAUGCAGCAUGCAAUGCAAUGAUAGCAGAUGAAGAAGUUGACUAAUAAGAAAGAAGGAGGUGCAAAAAAAAAGGAAAAAAGAAAUAAAAAAGAAAGAAGAAGGUGCAAAAAAAAGAAAAGAAAAAAACAGAAAGAGGGAGAUGAAAGCAAAAAAAGAAUAUAAAGCGCUGUUGGAGGAGUUGAAAUCAGCAACCUCAACAACUGUUACUAGGUAGAAAAGGAGUUGAAAUAGGAGAGCAAUGAGACUGACAUAAGAGGGGGAACAAACUUAGGAAGUUACCUGAUUAGACAGAAGGAGAUGCAAAAUAAAAAAAGAAAGAAAAAAAGAAAGAAAGAAGGUGAAGCAAGCAAAGAAAGAAGAUAAAGAGCUGUUGGAGGAGAUGAAAUCAGCAACUUCAAGAACUGUUACAAGGGAGAAAAGGAGAUUAUGUAGAAGAGGACUGAGGCUGACACAAUUCUGAACAACUGCCCAAUCUAGGACAUGCCCCAGAUCCUUGACGUGCAGAAGCUGACCAACACAAGAGAAUAAAAGGCAUGGGAUAUAGCUCAUCGGCUAUUACUUAUGACAACAUCAUGGUCCUGUAGCCGAAAUGAAAAGCUGGAAAGCUGGUCAACUCGAGAAUAUCCCUAGAUUCUCAUUCUCCCAGAAAUGAAGAAAAAUGGUGUAGCCGAAAAUAGAUGAAAUGAUGAGAAAUUUCUCCGGUUAAGCUUGGACAGCUCGAAGAAGCCAAGGCUGUGCUAGAUGCCUAGACUUCUACUUGCCACACAUACGACGUCAGAGUGCGGAACAUACUCCUGAUUGGCUACAAUCCGAAGGGUCUCCCCGAUAAAUCCGAUGCACUGCUUUGGGAUUUAAUAAAAAGGGAAGAAAUACCGACCUCCCUUCAGAAGGGCCGUCGAAUAUCCACGCUUUCUUCUCCUCCUCCAUUGUCCAGUCCUUUCGAUAAGUGCUAUGGAGCACUCUAAUAGCCGCAUGACACGAUUCUUGAGAACCAGAUUCUAAAAAAGAGUUGUGAAUCAGUUGCUCAUGCUAAGAGAUUGAAGGAGGAUUCAAUGCUUUUGCUGAGAUUGUUAUCAUACUGGUCAUUUGGAUUCUUUAUGGUUUAUGAACUAGGUGCUGGUUGCAUUACCUGAGAUUAGAAUCUUCCUGGUUGGUGUUUGCGAGAUGUUGAGCUCUGGGAAAAUAAAUCAAACUCAGGGGAGAAAGAAUUGGAUAUGCUAUCGGUAGUGACAGUUCCCACUCAAGACCUACCAACCAAUCCUCAGAUACUUGACUAAGUAGAUGAUCUUACACAACUAAGUUAUUUGAACGAGCCUUCAGUUCUUCACAAUCUUCAGACUAGAUAUUUACAAGAUAAUUUAUAUAGAAUGGCAGGCCCUGUACUUUUGUCAAUCAAUACAUUUAAUAAUGUCUAGCUAUAUGGGGAUGAUAAAGAAAGAAACUUUUGGACACUCCUCAUGCUUAUGCUGUUGCUGAUGCAGCAUGCAAUGCAAUGAUAGCAGAUGAAGAAGUUGACUAAUAAGAAAGAAGGAGGUGCAAAAAAAAAAGAAAAGAAAAAAAGAAAAGAGAAAAGAAAAGAGAAAAAAAGAAAAAAUGAAAGAAAGAAGGUGCAAAAAAAAAGAGAAGAAAAAAAAAGAAAGAAGACGAAAGCAAAAACAAAGAAGAUAAAACGCUGUUGGAGGAGAUUAAAUCAGCAACCUCAAGGUCUGUUACAAGGGAGAAAAGGAGUUGAAAUAGGAGAGGAAUGAGGCUGACAUAGGAGGGGGAACAAAAUUAGGAAGUUGCCUGAUUAUACUGAAGGAGAUGCAAAAUAAAAGAAAAAAAGAAAGAAGGUGAAGCAAGCAAAGAAAGAUGAUAAAGAGCUGUUGGUGGAUAUUAAAUCAGCUACUUCAAGAACCCUUACAAGGGAGAAAAUGAGUUUAUGUAGGAGAGGGCUGAGGCUGAGCAGCAUGCAAGGGAAGAAGAGACCCAAUCUAGGACAUGCCCCAGAUCCCAUGACGUGCAGAAGCUUACCAAAACAAGGAAAGCAGGUCAAUUCGAGAAAAUCCCUGAGACUCUCAUUGUAGAAGAAUGGUGUCGACGAAAAUAGAUGAAAUGAUGAGGUUAUUAUCACUUGAUCUCACUUUAUGCACAUCUAGGGAAAAAAAGAUGAAAUGAUAAGGUUGUGGGCUUUACAGAAGCCAAGGCUGUGCUAGAUGACUAGACUUCUACUUUCCACACAUACGACAACAGAGUGCCGAACAUACUCCUGAUUGGCUACUAUCAGAAGGGUCUCUCCGAUAAAUCUGAUGCAUUGCUUUGGGAUAUUAUAAAUAGGGAAGAAAUACCGACUUCCCUUCAGAAGAUAAUUAAGUUCUGAUUUUCAUCAUGGCCGUCGACUAUCCACGCUUUCUUCUCCUCCUCCGAUGUCCAGUCCUUUCGAUAAGUGCUUAUGGAGCACUCUAAUAGCCGCAUGACACGAUUCUUGAGAACCAGAUGCUAAAAAAGAGUUGUGAAGCAGUUGAUCAUGCUACGAGAUUGAAGGAGGAUUCAAUGCUUUUGCUGAGAGUGUUAUCAUACUGGUCAUUUGGAUACUUUAUGGUUAAUGAACUAGGUGCUGGUUGCAUUACCUGAGAUUAGAAUCUUCCAGGU